Molecule: unclassified non-coding RNA, 242 nt
Filed under: Hevea brasiliensis (rubber tree)
Lineage: Eukaryota; Viridiplantae; Streptophyta; Magnoliopsida; Malpighiales; Euphorbiaceae
Source: RNAcentral
AAUAAAUCCAUGGUUUAUAACCGGUAAUUAAUUCACUUAAGUCCACGCUCAAUCUAAAAUGACUAAAAUCAAAACCCUUAUUUUGUGCACUAUCUAAAAUCAUCCAAAUCCAAACCCAUAAUCCAUAGUACUCAAUCCAUAAGUGACUUGUUUGGAUUUGACUAAAAUCAAUCCAAAAUAGCACGUUACAAAGAGUCCAUAGAGCUGUGCACCAUUAAUUGAGAUUAAUGAUAGUAAUUUAG